AUUUUCUACAUACUACAUAUCAGCUUCUCAUGGAAAAGACAACCUUACCCUCGAUUCAAAAUCACAACCAAACCGAGUCAAAAACCAGCCAUAACUAAAAUCAAAAGCUUAUUUUACAUUUGCAUCCAUUUUCACUCUCUUCUUCGUUUUCCCUUCUCUACAAAGUUGAUUAAAUCUUCCCCAAAACUGAAAAACAGAGCCACACAUUCAUCACUGAUCAAGUUGACAGUGUUUCGGAAGGUGACACGGCCUGGAAACUUGAGAUUCUUUUGUACAGAAGCUAUCAUAGUUGUUCUAGAAGCUCCUAGAUUGACAGGGAGGUUUUGCGUUUCUUAUGGUAUUUGAUAUCUUGUUAGUGGGUUUAGUUUGAUAAGUUUAUCCGAGACAUGUUUUGGAAAUUCAGGGUAUGUAUUUUCAGAAGUUAUAGGGUUGAUUGUUGAGCAUAAAACUCAAAUGUCUAUGCUUGACUUUCCAAGGUGUUGGAUCUAUAAAUUUUCUCUUGCAACCACAUGUGCCCUGCAGCAAGCUAUUCCGUUAAGUUUCGGCAAUGCACUACGUGGGUAGUGUAGGGAACCCAAAUAAUUCAACUCGCCCACGCAAGGAGAAGAGAUUGACAUAUGUGUUGAAUGAUUCUGAUGACACAAAGCAUUGUGCAGGCAUAAAUUGCUUGGCUGUACUUAAGUCCGAAUCAUCUGAUGAGUCUGAUUUUAUUUUCACCGGAAGCCGUGAUGGCAAACUAAGAAGGUGGGCACUAUCUGUGGAUGCAGCGGCAUGCUCUGCGACCUUUGAAUCUCACUUGGAUUGGGUAAAUGAUGCAGUUCUUGUGGGUGAUAGUACGCUUGUUUCUUGUUCUUCAGAUACGACCCUUAAGACAUGGAAUGCCUUGUCGACAGGAACAUGUACUAGGACACUCUGCCAACACUCAGAUUAUGUUACUUGCCUUGCAGCAGCUGAAAAAAAUAGCAAUAUUGUUGCCUCGGGCGGCCUUGGUGGGGAGGUUUUUAUAUGGGAUAUUGAAGCUGCACUCGCUUCAGCUGCAAAAUGCAACGAUGCUAUGGAUGUCGAUACUUCAAAUUGUGUCAAUGGUUCUGGCAACUUAUUGCCAAUGACAAGAUUACGUACCAUCGGCUCUAGCAACAGUAUAUCCAUGCAAACUCAAACUGAAGGAUACAUUCCGGUUGCUGCCAAAGGCCAUAAGGAAUCUGUUUAUGCAUUGGCAAUGAAUGAAGGUGGAACACUUCUUGUUUCCGGUGGUACAGAAAAGGUUGUACGUGUUUGGGAUCCAAGAUCUGGAUCAAAGACUAUGAAGCUAAAAGGGCAUACAGAUAACAUCAGAGCUCUGCUUCUGGAUUCUACUGGCAGGUUUUGUUUAUCAGGAUCUUCAGACUCUAUGUUAAGGCUUUGGGAUCUCGGUCAGCAACGGUGUGUGCAUUCUUAUGCCGUUCAUACAGAUUCUGUUUGGGCUCUUGCUAGCAAUUCAACGUUUAGUCAUGUUUAUAGUGGUGGUAGAGACUCUUCUUUAUACUUGACAGAUUUGCAUACUAGAGAAAGCAUUCUGCUUAGCACUGGGGAACAACCAAUUCUUCAAAUGGCUUUGCAUGAUGAUAGCAUAUGGGUUGCAUCAACGGACUCGUCAGUUCACAGAUGGCCUGCUGAAGUGUGCAACCCUCAAAAGAUUUUCCAAAGAGGCAAUUCUUUUUUAGCUGGAAAUUUGUCAUUUUCAAGAGCGAGGGUGUCUCUAGAAGGAUCUACCCCUGCUCCUGAAUACAAACAGCCUACAUUGACUAUUCCCGGCAUCCCUGCAAUAGUACGACACGAAGUUUUAAAUAAUAAGAGGCAUGUGCUGACAAAGGAUACUUCUGGUUCAGUGAAGUUGUGGGAAAUCACGAAAGGUGUUGCAAUUGAAGAUUAUGGAAAGGUACCAUUCGACGAGAAAAAGGAAGAGCUGUUUGAGAUGGUUAGUAUUCCUGCAUGGUUCACAGUGGAUACCAGACUUGGAUGUUUGUCUGUACAUUUGGACACUCCCCAGUGCUUUUCUGCAGAGUUGUAUUCACAAGAGCUUAACAUUGUAGACAAACCGGAAGAUGAUAAGAUUAACUUGGCUCGAGAAACACUGAAAGGACUCUUGGCUCAUUGGAUGAGAAAACGAAAGCAAAGGAUGGGAACUUCUAUUUCUGCUAAUGGGGAAUUAUCAUCUGAAAACGAAAUUGGUACUAGAAGUCUUUCACAUUCAGACGUUGAGGUUGACGGAAGUUCUGAGAAUGAGGCUGUCGUUUAUCCUCCUUUUGAAUUCUCAAUUGUUUCCCCUCCUUCCAUUAUUACUGAGGGAACACUCGGAGGUCCAUGGAGAAAAAAGAUUACAGAUUUAGAUGGAACUGAAGAUGAUAAAGACUUCCCCUGGUGGUGUCUGGACUGUGUACUGAAUAAUCAAUUACCUCCUAGAGAAAAUACCAAAUGCAGUUUCUAUUUAUAUCCCAGUGAAAGCUCUAAUGUCCAGAUCCUCACUCAAGGGAAGCUAAGUGCUCCACGUAUAUUAAAAAUUCAUAAGGUUAUUAAUUAUGUUAUAGAAAAGAUGGUGCUUGACAAACCUUUGGAUAGUGGCAAUGCUCAAGGUAGUUUCCCCCCUGGAAUUGCUGGAUCGAAUUUACAGAACCAAACAGCUGGGGAUGAUUCUUUCCGAUCUGGGUUUAAACCUUGGCAAAAACUUAGACCUUCUAUUGAAAUAUUGUGCAACAAUCAGAUAUUGCCUCCAGAAAUGAGCUUAGCCACAGUGCGAGCUUAUAUAUGGAAGAAAACAGAGGACCUUGCCCUAAAUUACAGAGUAAUUCAUGGGAGGUGAUUGCAAAUUGUGCUUUCGUCGAUGGCGGUAUAGCAUCUUAAACUUUGCUUAGGUUUUCUUGUGAUUGCAUUAAACACUUCAGAGCAAUGAUUCUUAACGGGGUGCUGCCUAUUUUGAUCAGUAGCAUUGUAAGAGAUUUGUUUGUUCUAAACUCACAUUGAUAACCAAAUUUAGUGGCAUUAUUCAAACCUGCUCAAAUAGAUUUUCCUAUGUUGGAAUUUGUGACUAAUUCUUUUUGAAGUACAUCUGGCUUGAACAUACUUUCAGUGGUCAUGACCAAGACUCGUUAAUUUUGUGUCUGCAUGAUGAAGAAGGUUUUCUAAUGGGCUCCAUGGAGUAGGGAUCAUCAAAUGGGUGUUUUCCAGGAAGUAGGUAGUAAAUAUAGGGAUGACAACAAAAAUAUUGUACAUUUGAUCCGUAUGUUGAAUACCUAAACAUAUAAAUUAUGUUCUAUAUCUGUAUUUUUCCUUCAUAUUUGUUUCUGUACUAUUUCUUUUUUCAAUAAAAAUAUUGGCCAUCAUUAAUUGCAA
Molecule: RNA transcript, 3369 nt
Organism: Lathyrus oleraceus (garden pea)
Lineage: Eukaryota; Viridiplantae; Streptophyta; Magnoliopsida; Fabales; Fabaceae
Exons: 20
Source: RefSeq, a predicted model, not a curated record